UCAAACAUAGUGUAAACAGCACCUUAAAAUUUGAUUUUAAAAGAGGGAACAUCCUGCCGUUA
Molecule: transfer RNA, 62 nt
Filed under: Pholcus sp. HCP-2014
Lineage: Eukaryota; Metazoa; Arthropoda; Arachnida; Araneae; Pholcidae
Description: tRNA-Gln
Source: RNAcentral